Mus caroli (Ryukyu mouse) is the source of this 1677-nucleotide long non-coding RNA. RefSeq lists it as uncharacterized. The record is from RefSeq and is a predicted model, not a curated record. Lineage: Eukaryota; Metazoa; Chordata; Mammalia; Rodentia; Muridae.
CGGAUGGCUGCUAUUGAUGUGUUAUCCCUAGCAUCAAGAGAUGGUUCUUCUAGAACAUCAGCCGGCGGUAGGUCUCAAUCUCCAUCUCCAAGCGAGCCUUGACGCCCAGCAGCCGCUGGUGGUCGGCGUUCUGGCGCUCUGAGUCAGCCCGCACCUGUUGGAGUUGCUCCUCCAGGCUGCUGAUCAGCUGCUGCACCUGAGACAGCUGGCAGCAGUACCCACCCUCGGUUUCAGCCAGCGAGCCUUCCAGGGACGACUUCUGCAAAUGGGAGAUAGACAGAAUUGUCUGGGGAUCAGAGAACAAGACGGCAGCCCACGGUCCAGCAUACGGUGGGUGCAACAUCUUUUUUUGGAAGUUAAGGGAUGCGUCGUCUCUCUCUGCAUGUCACCCUACCAUGGCAAGCUGGGACUGGAGUUCAAUCUCCAGGUUCUGCACCAUGCGCUUCAGGUCGGUGACCUCACUCUUGCUGGACUGAAGCUGCUCCGUAUUGCUGCUGAUCUCUUUUCGGAGCUCUCCGCUCUGUAACAGCAAAGUAAGUGGAUGGGGUGAGCUCUGCGCUGGCUCAAAGGGCUUUCUGGGAAUGCAUCAAAUCUUGCAGUGUUACCUUUUCAAGGAACCAGGCCUCUGCAUCUUUCCGAUUUUGCUCAGCCAUGGCUUCAUACUGGGCUCUCAUUUCAUUGAGGACCUUGGUGAGAUCCACUCCAGGGGCCGCGUCCAUUUCUACAUUGACCUCACCUGGACCACCUGCCUGGAAACUUUGGAGUUCCUAGAGACAGCAAUGGAGAGAGAAAGACACAGGAGUACAUGUGGCUAGUGAGUCCCCCAGAACCAGAAAGAAGACCGCCAUCAUUGCCAGAAAAGAUACACAGAGAGCCACCGCCCGAGCUUCCCGCUAUCCCCAUCCCCAUCCCCAUUCCUCCCGCGCCACCUCUCAGAGGUCCCCCAUAGGCAGAGCCAAGCCCCGGCAAGCAACCUGCAGAGCCACUGCUAAAGCCAGAACUAGAACCAAGCAUGGAAGCAGCAGAAAAGAGGCCUCCACAGCCAACUCCAAAGCCAGAGGCCGAUCCCCCAUAGCCGCCGGCAACACUCGAAGCAGAUGCACCCCAAGGUCUGCCUGCCGCCCCAUUCUGUGAGGAAGACCUCCUGGACAGUGCGGAGGUGCAGACUGAAAGCGACAUGCUGUUGCUGGAGAGUUGGUGACCCAAGAGAGACUGCAGUGCUGAUAUCUGACACACAAGAAAGAAGGCUGGGUGGAGCUGUCGUAAGGAAUCUGUCAUCUUCAGUUGUCCUCAGCACUGCCUGUAUCUUCCAGACACCAGAAGAGUGACGACUGGAGCAUUAAGGAAUCCUUCCGAAGCCCCAUGCUUCCUGAAGCUCUGUCCUCCCCUCCCCUGUCUAUUUCUUUCGGUUCGAUAUAAGCCAACCAACCAUGCUGUGGUUCUCUCUGUAGGAACAGUUUCAGAGGCAGAUGAAGAGCGCAUUCCUGGAAGGUGAGAAACAGAGGUGUUUUCCAAGCGGACAUUAGAAUCUGAGCUUGCAAGGUUCUGAAAGCAUCCGCUGUAGGGAGUUGUAGGGUUCUUGUUUUUCUGAAAAUGGAACACUUAAACAUGGGAGCCAGCUGUUUGGAAGUCGAACAUUUUGGUUAACAAAAGAUUGGCAUUCUUAGUGAACCAUGA